AUUGAACGCUGGCGGCAGGCCUAACACAUGCAAGUCGAACGGUAACAGGAAGCAGCUUGCUGCUUCGCUGACGAGUGGCGGACGGGUGAGUAAUGUCUGGGAAGCUGCCUGAUGGAGGGGGAUAACUACUGGAAACGGUAGCUAAUACCGCAUAAUGUCGCAAGACCAAAGAGGGGGACCUUCGGGCCUCUUGCCAUCGGAUGUGCCCAGAUGGGAUUAGCUUGUUGGUGGGGUAACGGCUCACCAAGGCGACGAUCCCUAGCUGGUCUGAGAGGAUGACCAGCCACACUGGGACUGAGACACGGUCCAGACUCCUACGGGAGGCAGCAGUGGGGAAUAUUGCACAAUGGGCGCAAGCCUGAUGCAGCCAUGCCGCGUGUAUGAAGAAGGCCUUCGGGUUGUAAAGUACUUUCAGCGGGGAGGAAGGGAGUAAAGUUAAUACCUGUGCUCAUUGACGUUACCCGCAGAAGAAGCACCGGCUAACUCCGUG
RNAcentral lists this ribosomal RNA (490 nucleotides) under uncultured bacterium. RNAcentral describes it as "partial 16S ribosomal RNA". It matches the Rfam family "Bacterial small subunit ribosomal RNA", at positions 30 to 507 of the family's 1533-position model. The record is from RNAcentral.